UGAGAAUGAUUGAUUGUGUGGAGUGGGCCACCGUAGGUGUCAAAUGUAUAAUUGGGCCGCACCCUAGUUUUCUCCUUUAGAUAGUGUAGAGGGUAUGAAUAUGGACCUGUGCCAAAGACAUCAACUAUAGCCUCACACUUAAAGAUCGUGUAAUCCGUAGACAACCCGCGUAACCCAGUAUUUGAACGAGUUGACAGGUUAUAUUUAUGGGUUGUAAUCCAUUUAGAAUACUUUAAACGGGUUGGGGAGUAAAGUGGGCCGCACCUUGUGUGCUUUGGUGUUAUGAGCGGCCGAGAUCCCUUGAAGCCCAAACAUAGCCAUGUGAGUUGAGAACCCAAACCACCAUUUGUGUGCUGGUGUACGGCAGCCCAAAGUAAAUGGGCUAAACUUUGACUAUUUAGAACACAUAUUACGUAGCAUAUAUUUGCUGGGUGAUAAACUCAACACAAAAACCCUACCCCCUUUCAUCUCCUACAUACGGCAGACCCCCACCACUAGCGCAACAUCCCUUUGUAUCAACAUCUGAAUCAAGUCUAGCUCUCGGGUUGGUUGGCUAGCACGGACGGGUAACAUAACAAAUCGAGCAAAUCAAAGGGUUGGUUGGCUAGCAUGGACGGGUAACAUAACAAACCGAGCAAAUCAAAGGUCGUUAGGUGAUUGAAACAGGAGCUUGUUGGCUGGAGAGCAAGAGUAGUCAUGGUCAUACCAACGGGAUUAUUUGUCAAAUACUUAUUUAUUAAGAUUGAAUUCAUAUUUACCUUAUGAUACUUUAAUGCUUCCGCUGAACUUGUGAUUUUGAAUAACUUAUGAUGAGAAUUGUUAUUACUUAAUUAAUGGAACUUUAU
Helianthus annuus (common sunflower) is the source of this 845-nucleotide long non-coding RNA. RefSeq lists it as uncharacterized. The transcript is spliced from 4 exons. Lineage: Eukaryota; Viridiplantae; Streptophyta; Magnoliopsida; Asterales; Asteraceae. The record is from RefSeq and is a predicted model, not a curated record.